AACGGCGAGUGAAGCGGCAAAAGCUCAAAUUUGAAAUCUAGCACCUUCGGUGUUCGAGUUGUAAUUUGAAGAUGGUAACCUUGGGUUUGGCUCUUGUCUAUGUUCCUUGGAACAGGACGUCAUAGAGGGUGAGAAUCCCGUCUGAUGAGAUGCCCAUUCCUAUGUAAGGUGCUAUCGAAGAGUCGAGUUGUUUGGGAAUGCAGCUCUAAGUGGGUGGUAAAUUCCAUCUAAAGCUAAAUAUUGGCGAGAGACCGAUAGCGAACAAGUACAGUGAUGGAAAGAUGAAAAGAACUUUGAAAAGAGAGUGAAAAAGUACGUGAAAUUGUUGAAAGGGAAGGGCAUUAGAUCAGACUUGGUGUUUUACGAUUAUCUUCUCUUCUUGAGUUGUGCACUCGUAUUUCACUGGGCCAGCAUCGAUUCGGAUGGCAAGAUAAUGGCAGUUGAAUGUGGCUUCACUUCGGUGGAGUGUUAUAGCUUCUGCUGAUAUUGCCUGUCUGGAUCGAGGGCUGCGUCUUUUGACUAGGAUGCUGGCGUAAUGAUCUAAUGCCGCCCGUCUUG
RNAcentral lists this ribosomal RNA (558 nucleotides) under Hansenula anomala. RNAcentral's name for it is "Wickerhamomyces anomalus partial large subunit ribosomal RNA". It matches the Rfam family "Eukaryotic large subunit ribosomal RNA", at positions 85 to 656 of the family's 3401-position model. Lineage: Eukaryota; Fungi; Ascomycota; Saccharomycetes; Phaffomycetales; Wickerhamomycetaceae. The record is from RNAcentral.